Molecule: ribosomal RNA, 497 nt
Filed under: uncultured bacterium
Lineage: Bacteria
Description: partial 16S ribosomal RNA
Rfam family: Bacterial small subunit ribosomal RNA
Source: RNAcentral
GACGAACGCUGGCGGCGUGCCUAAUACAUGCAAGUUGAGCGCUGAAGGUUGGUACUUGUACCAACUGGAUGAGCAGCGAACGGGUGAGUAACGCGUGGGGAAUCUGCCUUUGAGCGGGGGACAAAAUUUGGAAACGAAUGCUAAUACCGCAUAAAAACUUUAAACACAAGUUUUAAGUUUGAAAGAUGCAAUUGCAUCACUCAAAGAUGAUCCCGCGUUGUAUUAGCUAGUUGGUGAGGUAAAGGCUCACCAAGGCGAUGAUACAUAGCCGACCUGAGAGGGUGAUCGGCCACAUUGGGACUGGGACACGGCCCAAACUCCUACGGGAGGCAGCAGUAGGGAAUCUUCGGCAAUGGACGAAAGUCUGACCGAGCAACGCCGCGUGAGUGAAGAAGGUUUUCGGAUCGUAAAACUCUGUUGGUAGAGAAGAACGUUGGUGAGAGUGGAAAGCUCAUCAAGUGACGGUAACUACCCAGAAAGGGACGGCUAACUACGUG